GUCCGUAGCUCAGUUGGUUAGAGCACCACCUUGACAUGGUGGGGGUCGGUGGUUCGAGUCCACUCGGACGCACCA
Molecule: transfer RNA, 75 nt
Rfam family: tRNA
About the family: Transfer RNA (tRNA) molecules are approximately 80 nucleotides in length. Their secondary structure includes four short double-helical elements and three loops (D, anti-codon, and T loops). Further hydrogen bonds mediate the characteristic L-shaped molecular structure. tRNAs have two regions of fundamental functional importance: the anti-codon, which is responsible for specific mRNA codon recognition, and the 3' end, to which the tRNAs corresponding amino acid is attached (by aminoacyl-tRNA synthetases). tRNAs cope with the degeneracy of the genetic code in two manners: having more than one tRNA (with a specific anti-codon) for a particular amino acid; and 'wobble' base-pairing, i.e. permitting non-standard base-pairing at the 3rd anti-codon position.